AACUAACAAGGAUUCCCCUAGUAACGGCGAGUGAAGCGGGAAGAGCUCAAAUUUGUAAUCUGGCACUUUCAGUGUCCGAGUUGUAAUCUCGAGAAGUAUUUUCCGCGCCGGACCGCAUACAAGUCUGUUGGAAUACAGCGUCAUAGUGGUGAGAGCCCAGUAACUGAUGCGGAUGCCCGGUGCUUUGUGAUAUACUUUCGAAGAGUCGAGUUGUUUGGGAAUGCAGCUCAAAUUGGGUGGUAAAUUCCAUCUAAAGCUAAAUAUUGGCGAGAGACCGAUAGCGAACAAGUACCGUGAGGGAAAGAUGAAAAGCACUUUGGAAAGAGAGUUAACAGUACGUGAAAUUGUUGGAAGGGAAACACUUGACGUCAGACUUGCGUUUCGGAGUUCAGCCGUAAGGUGUAUUCUUCGAUUUGCAGGCCAGCAUCAGUUUUUGGGGGUGGAAAAUCGUGGUUUGAAGGUAGCAGUUUCGGCUGUGUUAUAGCUUUCCACUGGAUUCAUCCUCGGGGACUGAGGAACGCAGUACGCUUUUUGCAAGGCUCUCGAGCUUCGUACUAGGAUGCGGGGAA
Molecule: ribosomal RNA, 569 nt
Filed under: Leucosporidium krtinense
Lineage: Eukaryota; Fungi; Basidiomycota; Microbotryomycetes; Leucosporidiales; Leucosporidiaceae
Description: eukaryotic LSU rRNA
Rfam family: Eukaryotic large subunit ribosomal RNA
Source: RNAcentral